AUAUGCAAGGGCCCUUAAAAAUUUUAUGAAGCGAAACAUCGUAGUAAUAAAUCUAAAACAUAAAUCAACUGAGAUGUUAAAGUAACGGUGAGUGAAACGAAGUAGCUCAAAAAUUAAAAAGGAGGGCUGAAUUACUUGGAAAAGUAAGCUACAGAGGGUGAUAGCCCCGUAAGCUUUU
RNAcentral lists this ribosomal RNA (178 nucleotides) under Paramecium octaurelia. RNAcentral describes it as "partial 5.8S ribosomal RNA". It matches the Rfam family "Bacterial large subunit ribosomal RNA", at positions 162 to 393 of the family's 2925-position model. RNAcentral also lists the same sequence under 3 other names. The record is from RNAcentral. Lineage: Eukaryota; Ciliophora; Oligohymenophorea; Peniculida; Parameciidae.